UACGUAGGGUGCGAGCGUUGUCCGGAAUUAUUGGGCGUAAAGGGCUCGUAGGCGGUCUGUCGCGUCGGGAGUGAAAACUCAGGGCUUAACCCUGAGCCUGCUUCCGAUACGGGCAGACUAGAGGUAUGCAGGGGAGAACGGAAUUCCUGGUGUAGCGGUGGAAUGCGCAGAUAUCAGGAGGAACACCGAUGGCGAAGGCAGGUCUCUGGGCUGUAACUGACGCUGAGGAGCGAAAGCAUGGGGAGCGAACAGG
This 253-nucleotide ribosomal RNA is filed under the name uncultured bacterium. Its description in RNAcentral is "partial 16S ribosomal RNA". It matches the Rfam family "Bacterial small subunit ribosomal RNA", at positions 524 to 776 of the family's 1533-position model. The record is from RNAcentral.